AACGUAGGUGGCGAGCGUUAUCCGGAUUCAUUGGGCGUAAAGCGCUUGUAGGUGGCCUUGUAAGUUGGACGUGAAAUCUCCCGGCUUAACCGGGCGGGGUCGUUCAAUACUGCAGGGCUGGAGGAUGUCAGAGGGCAGCGGAAUUCCUGGUGUAGCGGUGAAAUGCGUAGAUAUCAGGAGGAACACCUGCGGUGUAGACGGCUUACUGGACCAUCACUGACGCUGAGGCACGAAAGCGUGGGUAGCAAACAGG
RNAcentral lists this ribosomal RNA (253 nucleotides) under uncultured bacterium. RNAcentral's name for it is "partial 16S ribosomal RNA". It matches the Rfam family "Bacterial small subunit ribosomal RNA", at positions 524 to 776 of the family's 1533-position model. The record is from RNAcentral.